UUACCUCAUUUUAGUGUGCCAUAAGGCACAGGUUGGCUUGUUCGGUUGAGGUUUCCUCAUCGAAGCUUGAGUCAUCACUCGCACUCCAUGUGGCCAUCAUGGCCUUCUUCUUGAACUUCUUGGGAUCUUUCUUCAGUUGUGGGCAUUUGGAUUUGAAGUGUCCCGGCUUCUUGCACUCGUAGCAGAUAAGGGGUUGGUCUUUCUCUUUUUCUUUGCUUUGUUCCCCUUUUGUGAGUGGCCUCUUCCUCAUCUCCUGUUUCCU
Molecule: long non-coding RNA, 262 nt
Filed under: Elaeis guineensis (African oil palm)
Lineage: Eukaryota; Viridiplantae; Streptophyta; Magnoliopsida; Arecales; Arecaceae
Description: long non-coding RNA (EGUI_LNC076288)
Source: RNAcentral